GAGAAGGGAAGCUAUUAAAAAAAAUAUACCCCAACCCCAAGCCUCAGGAUUGCAGCUGUUUAAUGUGGGCCAGCAGUCCUACCAGGAACACUUCGCCUGGAGAAACCUGGACCGGCCUUUCGGGUGUGUGUCUGCGAGAGACAGGGGUUUCUUCUAUUUCCUCGCGCCCCUCUUGUUAUUGUGGAGCCUGCCUGAGAGGAUGAGAGCCCGGACCUCCCUGUAGUUGUCCAGUUUGGGAUCGUGGAGAGAAGGAGCCAGUACGUCUCGGAGAAGAGUGGCUUUAUUUAUAUAGAAGGAAAACGCACAAUUUAAUUUUUCCUUCCCUUGCCUUUUGCCCCGGGGAGCCUGCAGACACGAUGUCAAAACUGAACAUUGGAUUGGAGAAGUGAUCUAUUCAACAAACAAAAAGUUCCCAACCUAUUCAUAAACAAAGCACGGUCAGAUGGCAUUGGAAAGAGGACUGCAGAGCCCAAGGACAUUGCUAAUUCUUUGGAACCCGCUGUCAUGGAGCAAGGUAGACUGAAAUUAGCGUGUGUCCAAAUUAAAACUGCGAACUUCAAGGAUUAUUUGAUGGACUAUUCCUAGACCCUUUCCUGAAGAUUUAGA
This is a long non-coding RNA of Phascolarctos cinereus (koala), 606 nucleotides long. RefSeq lists it as uncharacterized. The record is from RefSeq and is a predicted model, not a curated record. NCBI's taxonomy places the organism in Eukaryota, Metazoa, Chordata, Mammalia, Diprotodontia, Phascolarctidae.